GAAAUGCAUUGAAGAAUGAAUACUCGAACUUGAAAUAUAGGGAAUCAGGAUUCUUACUAGCCACUGCAUUAAUUUCAGCUCUCUCUAUCUAAGCAGCAGUGGGUCCAUUCUCCUUCUCCUUCUGGCACUCCUCCCACUCUUUGAUCCACAGAUCCGCAAACUCGCAAUUCUUAUACUUCUCGAACCACGGCCCUCCCAGAGUGUAAU
RNAcentral lists this unclassified non-coding RNA (207 nucleotides) under Hevea brasiliensis (rubber tree). The record is from RNAcentral. Lineage: Eukaryota; Viridiplantae; Streptophyta; Magnoliopsida; Malpighiales; Euphorbiaceae.